Molecule: long non-coding RNA, 1315 nt
Filed under: Homo sapiens (human)
Lineage: Eukaryota; Metazoa; Chordata; Mammalia; Primates; Hominidae
Description: long independently transcribed non-coding RNA 2377, transcript variant 17 (LINC02377)
Source: RNAcentral
GCCAGAUAAGGGAAGCAGGCCUCCGAAGCCAGCAGUGGCAACCCACUUGGGUCCCUUUCAAUGCUGUGGAAGCGUUGUUCUUUCACUCUUCUCAAUAAAUCUUGCUGCUGCUCACUCUUUGGGUCUGCCCCGCUGUUAUGAGCUGUAACACUCACAGCCAGUGUCUGCAGUUUCACUCCUGAAGCCAGCAAGACCACAAACCCACAGGGCGGGACAAACAACUCCGGACAGGAGGAAUGAACAACUCUGGACGCGCCACUUCUAUGAACUUUUAUGAACUGUAACACUCACCGCAAAGGUCUGCAGCUUCACCCCUGAGGCCAGGGAGACCACGAACCCACCGGAAGGAAUGAACAACUCCAGACGCACUGCCUUUAAGAGCUGUAACACUUACCACGGAUGUCUGCAGCUUCACUCCUGAAGUCAGCGAGACCACAAACCCAACAGAAGGAAGAAACUCCCGACACAUCUGAACAUCUGAAGGAACAAACUCUGGACACACCAUCUUUAAGAACUGUAACACUCACCGUGAGGGUCAACCGCUUCAUUCUUGAAGUCAGCCAGACCAAGAACCCACCAAUUCCGAGUCUCACUUUGUUGCCUAAGCUAGAGUGCAGCGUCGUGAUCAAGGCUCACUGCAGCCUCAACAUCCUGAUCCCCAGUGUUCCUCCCACCUCAACCUCCCAAGUAGCUGGGACCACAGUCUAUCUGAAUCAUGUUAUUGGACCAUGAGAGCAAGCAGCUGGAUCUCAUUCUGUCCAGGGUUUCAUCAUUUUUGGCCAUGCUGGCCUUGAACGCCUAACCUCAAAUGAUCCACCUGCCUUGGCCUCCUGAAGUUCUGGGAGUUAUAGGCAUGAGUCACCAUGCCUGGCACCACAUAAAAUUAUUUUGUCAUUAACAUUACAUUUUAAAAUACAAACGCUGUUUUCCAUAUUACUCAGGUCAGAUCUUUUACCCCACUUCUCUCAGUGAGAUUGCAUUAUUUAUUUCCAUCUCUAUAAUCUACUGUUCAUCCAUCUAUCUAUCCAUCCCUCAAUUUAGUUUUUUCACUACAUUCUGCAUUUGAUUCUUUUGAGGGUGUAUGCUUGUGUUUGUGCGUGGAAGUGGGGGUGUGUGUGUGUGUGUGUGUUCAAAAAGGUCUACAGUUUCCUUUUUCUGUAAUAUCUGUGUCUGCUGUUGGUAUUAGGGUAAUGCUGAACUCAUAGAGUAUGUGAAAAGUUUUCUACAUUCUUUGAUUUUUCUGAAAGAAAUUGUGCAGAAUUCAUAUUAUUUCUUUCUUAAAUGCUCAAGUGUUUAUUAAAAUUUACCAGUAAAA